CCUGCAGUUCAGACUAGGUGAUUCAUCUGAAGCUAAGCCAGUUUGGGCCUGACCAGUACUUGGGUGGGAGACCAACUAGGAAAUCUGGGUGGCUACUGGA
Molecule: ribosomal RNA, 100 nt
Filed under: Paramormyrops kingsleyae
Lineage: Eukaryota; Metazoa; Chordata; Actinopteri; Osteoglossiformes; Mormyridae
Source: RNAcentral